Molecule: ribosomal RNA, 346 nt
Filed under: uncultured bacterium
Lineage: Bacteria
Description: bacterial SSU rRNA
Rfam family: Bacterial small subunit ribosomal RNA
Source: RNAcentral
GGGCCCGCACAAGCGGAGGAGCAUGUGGUUUAAUUCGAUGAUACGCGAGGAACCUUACCUGGGCUUAAAUGUUAGAUGCCAUUCUGCGAAAGCGGAAGUUUCUUCGGAACAUCUAGCAAGGUGCUGCAUGGCUGUCGUCAGCUCGUGCCGUGAGGUGUUGGUUAAGUCCCGCAACGAGCGCAACCCCUAUCAUUAGUUGCCAUCAGGUUAAGCUGGGGACUCUAAUGAAACUGCCUACGCAAGUAGAGAGGAAGGCGGGGACGACGUCAAGUCAUCAUGGCCCUUACGCCCAGGGCUACACACGUGCUACAAUGGUAGGUACAAUGAGAAGCUACUUGGUAACAAG